AUUAUCUGUGGUCACAGUUGCAGGUAAAUUACUUCCUAUUUAAAACAUUGAUUUAAUUUAGACUUUACCAUUGUUAAACAUUUAUAAUAAGACUAAGGAAUGGGUUCAAAUUGCUAACCUUGAACGGAUCAAUGAAAUAUCUAACAAGCAGUAUACAUUCUAUACCGAUUCUUUGUAAUACUUUAGUAAUAUCUUCAGUAAUAUCUAUCUGUCUUUUAUGUACAGUUUUCAACUAACACGGUAAGGCCUUCCUCCAAACAAGAAAUGUGUCUUAUAAUUUAAGUGCAAAAUAUUAACAUUUAAUAAUUUAGGUAAAGUAACUGAUUAUUUUGAUAACACCCUUUCGAUUAUUAUUUAUGAAUUAUUCUUAAAUAACUAAACAUUUUGUAUCUAAGUUUACACAUGGCGUUUCACAAGUUCGUCAUAUUUUCUGUAUGAUUCGUGGGUGGAUGGUUGAUAGAACACCCACAAUUCUUUUUAAGUUUACUAUAUAUAUAUAUGAUAAGAUGACUGCAGAAUCAUAAUCCUCACCGCUGAUUAUUAUCUUAUCAUAUUCCGUAAACAAAUAUCAAAAUUGCAUAUUUAUACCAGGUUAGCGAUUCAGGCUCUUAGUAGCCUCUUGUUUCAUUGAUAAUUUGGGUUGUUCUUUAAUGAAGAAACAUACACAUGUAUUAACCAAUAUAGUGAGUGAAAUGAGAGAGAAAGAGAUGGCGAGAGAAUUGAAUUAAAUUAUUUGCGGGUAGAAUUUCAUUGAAAUAUACAUUUUCAGACAGCGUUGCUAUGAUUCGGACCGGUGUUUGUUUGAUACUAUGCUUACACUGUGAAGGUAAGUCUGUAACUUAUGUAGCCGGUAAGUAGGAUAUAUGUUAUUCGCUACUCAAAACAAAUAUGAUAUAUACUGUACAUGCACAAAUGUAAUUGCCUUCUAUAGACACAGAGGAGCUUUCGCCAAAUCUAUAUGUGGUGUUGCCCCACUAAGGAUUGAUACUGGGAGAUAUGCACAUAUAGUUUUAUAAUACAGAGUGUGUUAUACAUAUGAUGGUUUUAUUAAAGACGAAUUUCAUGUUUUAUUAAAUUUCCUCUUUUUGACGAUUUAGGAAACCAUUCAUGUUACGUUGCUGAAACAUUUAAUAAAAAUUUAGAUACCUGACAACCAAACUUUAUAUUUUUAUUCUCAGAUGUAAAAAUGAUACGUGUGUGUACGAAAACCUGUUAUUCAAUGUUAAGAAGACCUCCACAUUUUAGUACUUUAUUUCAUAUUGUUUAAUGUAACGUAUCUUAUAUUCAUAUCAAUAGUAUCUCAUAACUCUGUUUAGAAGGUUUUCAUUUCAUGUAGUAUUGUUUUACAAUUAGUAAAUACCGAUUGUACUUGUUGAAGGAUGAUACUUUAAUAAUAUAAUAUUAAAUUGAAGUGCACAACCGUCUUGAAAUAACUGAAUAUACUUUGCUCGAAAUCAAAACAAUUUACUUACAUAAGGGUAUGAGUAAAAGAGGGAAAAUAUAUGGAAUAAACGUGAUCCGACAAUGAAAAGUGACGUUUUGGUUGACUAAUCUAAAUUGAUAUCAGAACGGUAAAGCAAUUUUAUCUAUAGUGCUGAAGUUUGACAAUGUGUAAAAUCAAUGUAAAAAAGUAAAAUAACAAAUAUUACCUAUAAUAUCAAUGUAAUAACUUGAAUCCUUUUACAGUUAUUUCUAGUUACAAAAGAGUCUGCUUCUUCACGAACUGGUCACAAUAUCGAACCGGUAUUGGAAAAUAUACGGCGGAUAAAAUUGAUCCAUUUUUAUGUACCCAUGUAAUAUAUGCAUUUGCCAAAGUGUCUGGGAAUACUAUCCAGCCAUAUGAAGAAAAUGACAUCACCAAAUCCAGUAA
This 1870-nucleotide long non-coding RNA is filed under the name Mytilus galloprovincialis (Mediterranean mussel). Lineage: Eukaryota; Metazoa; Mollusca; Bivalvia; Mytilida; Mytilidae. The record is from RNAcentral.